This 415-nucleotide long non-coding RNA is filed under the name Mytilus galloprovincialis (Mediterranean mussel). Lineage: Eukaryota; Metazoa; Mollusca; Bivalvia; Mytilida; Mytilidae. The record is from RNAcentral.
CGUGUGUUUCUUUGUCAAUUGUGUUCUCCAAUUUAUUUAUAUUGUAGUUCUGUGGUGUUGAGUUGUCAUUUUAAUGUUAUAUUUCACAUGGGUAUAAAAGGGGAGGUUUGGCAUGCCACAAAACCAGGUUCAAUCCACCAUUUUUUCCUUUAAAAAUGUCCUGUACCAUGUCAGGAAUAUGGCCAUUGUUAUAUUAUAGUUCGUUUCUGUGUGUGUUACAAUUUAACGUUGCGUCGUUUGUUUUCUCUUAUUUUUGAGUGUAAAUUGACAUUGCGAUAAGACGUGUCACGGUACUUGUCUAUCCCAAAUUCAUGUAUUUGGUUUUGAUGUUAUAUUUGUUAUUCUCGUGGGAUUUUGUCUGAUGCUUGGUCCGUUUCUGUGUGUGUUACAUUGUAGUGUUGUUUCGUUGUUCUCC